GGAAAACCAAUAUCACGAGCAAUUGCGGAAGCUGAGAGAGAAUUGAGUUUUGAAUGCUGAUGAUGAUUUUAUUGAUGACUGGAAGCUAAUUACAAAAGAUGUGGUGUCGAGGGAAGAGACACCAGUAUAAAAAAUGCUUGCUUGAAAAUGUUUGGUUGCUUGAUCUCCCCUAAUAAUACUUAAAAAAUAAAAACCAAGAUUACAUGACUGGCCUUAAGAAAGCUGUAAAAGCAUACUAAAUAAAAAUGAAGUAAAGCUAGCCUAGAAUUACAAUGAAAGAAGACUUAGUUUAUUACAUGUAGAAAUAAGUCUGAUGGCAACAACUUUGUCUUGCGGGUCAGGGUCUGCGCGCGCGGUGCUAUGGGCGCGCGCGACACUUGUUGUCUUUGCCUGAUGUUGGGCGUUGGAGCUUGGCAUCAGGGUCUGUGCGCGAGGCGCUGUUGUCAUUGGCCAGCCGCUGGGCGCUGGCGAGAUGCAUCGGUGGGGUGAAAGAGGCGCAUGGGCGCUUGUCACUUGGCGCAACCAAGACCACGGGGCCGACCAUGGCGCUAGGCUUUGAGAGGCUUGCUAGGUCGCCAUGGGGCGCGAUCAAGGGGUCAUGGGGCGUGUAUGGAAAGCAACCCAUCACAAUAGUUGUGUGGAUUGUCACUGUGGAGACUCAAGUAGACUUGCUGCUGCAUUUGCAGGCCUCGGAGUCACCAUCUGUUUUAUUUAUUUUCAUUGUUUCCUUGUGUUCUGGAACAGUGAUGUAUUCAAUAUGUAUAACUACUCCUAGAAAGGCUUAUGACUUGUACUACCAGUUUUGGGAAUUCUAAAUUGUUCGAGAUAUCUAAUCUAAGUAAGUGAAUAUUAUCAUUAUUUCUGUUAAUGUUAGGCUUACCUAGUUUUAGAGACUUGGUGCCAUCACGACUCCUUCAGAGGAAUUUUAGGUCGUGAUAGUUGUAGUAUACUUGUAUGUAAAUUGUAUUCUAUUGUAGUUAUAUAUUUAUUAUUAUUUGAAUAUUGUAUAAAAAUUGAAAAUAGUUGUACAAUCUAUGAAUCGUUGUAUAAAGUUUGUAUUUAAGUUAUCAAUACUAUCUUUUUUACAUAAAGUUGUUAUAUAUAUCAAAAUUGCAUUAAGCGAGUAAAUUUUGAUUGGAAUUUAAGAGAGGAAGAAGCACACACCACAUACAAAAUAUACAAAAAAGACAUAUUGUAUAAAAUUUAUAUAAAAAUUGUAUUUAAGUUGUAUGAUAUUGUAAUUUUAUUUAAUUGGGUAAAAAAGAUGGAUGAAAAAUAGAUGAGUUGCAAAUAAUUUGUAUAUUAUAUAAUUAGUUAUAUGAAAUUUAUUUUUAUUAUAUAUGUUGUUGCAGGUAUAUAAAAUUUCGUAUCAAAAGUUGUUGUAAAUGUAUGAACCGUAAUUUAUUUAUUUCAAACCUUUUUAAGAUGAGAAGAUGAAGAAAAAGUCGCCAUUGUUUUCACUUCUUCUUAUGACGACGAUGAUGAGUAUUUGCUUCCUUCGCAAAGUUUCGAUCAUGGUAAUUUGGGGAUGCGUCUCUGUAAUAUCGGUAAAUUGCGAGAUUGAUAGGGCGGAUAUACUUGAUGAGUUUGGUGUGUACAUUGCUGGGCCGAGUAACAUCCAUGACCAGGAAAGGGAAAGGUGGUUAACACCAUUGUUCCCUUCAGUUAUGUCUUUUUCCAAUAUAAAUUCAACAGAAUUCCCUAUUCUUUUUAAAAUCCGUCAUUAUUACUUUGUACUCCCCUUUUGUGUAUAUGAUACAUUUUCUUAAUUUGCUGACCAUACCAAUUCUUU
Molecule: long non-coding RNA, 1792 nt
Filed under: Nicotiana benthamiana
Lineage: Eukaryota; Viridiplantae; Streptophyta; Magnoliopsida; Solanales; Solanaceae
Description: long non-coding RNA (NBEN_LNC016211)
Source: RNAcentral